GAUGAACGCUGGCGGCGUGCCUAAUACAUGCAAGUCGAGCGAACAGACGAGGAGCUUGCUCCUCUGACGUUAGCGGCGGACGGGGGAGUAACACGUGGAUAACCUACCUAUAAGACUGGGAUAACUUCGGGAAACCGGAGCUAAUACCGGAUAAUAUAUUGAACCGCAUGGGUCAAUAGUGAAAGACGGCUUUGCUGUCCGUUAUAGAUGGAUCCGUGCCGCAUUAGCUAGUUGGUAAGGUAACGGCUUACCAAGGCAACGAUGCGUAGCCGACCUGAGAGGGGGAUCGGCCACACUGGAACUGAGACACGGUCCAGACUCCUACGGGAGGCAGCAGUAGGGAAUCUUCCGCAAUGGGCGAAAGCCUGACGGAGCAACGCCGCGUGAGUGAUGAAGGUCUUCGGAUCGUAAAACUCUGUUAUUAGGGAAGAACAAAUGUGUAAGUAACUAUGCACGUCUUGACGGUACCUAAUCAGAAAGCCACGGCUAACUACGUGCCAGCCGCCGCCGUAA
RNAcentral lists this ribosomal RNA (513 nucleotides) under uncultured bacterium. Its description in RNAcentral is "partial 16S ribosomal RNA". It matches the Rfam family "Bacterial small subunit ribosomal RNA", at positions 28 to 523 of the family's 1533-position model. The record is from RNAcentral.